This is a long non-coding RNA of Pecten maximus, 696 nucleotides long. RefSeq lists it as uncharacterized. The transcript has 2 exons. NCBI's taxonomy places the organism in Eukaryota, Metazoa, Mollusca, Bivalvia, Pectinida, Pectinidae. The record is from RefSeq and is a predicted model, not a curated record.
UAUUUUUGGUAUUUAAAUUAUUCUUGUAUCUAUCAGUAUCUUUACUAUCUUAUAGGCUCUAAUCAUUCCAAUUCAAUCUGUUCCUUAUUUUUAUAUGACAGUCCAUGAAGGAUUGAAUUUUAAUGUGAUUAUUGGUGACAAGAGGUUUGUUUUGCAUUCCAAAUUAUCAGUAGGUUAAUUUCCAUGUUUCCUGUAUGUAAUUUUGUUGAAUAAGUAUUAGGUUCUAGUCAUUUUAUUGAAAUCAUUUGUUUUUAUGUGCCAAUCAAGUAUUAGGUUCUAGUCAUUUUAUUGAAAUAAUUUGUUUUUAUGUGCCAAUCAAGUAUUAGGUUCUAGUCAUUUUAUUGAAAUCAUUUGUAACUUAAUGUGCCAAUCAAGGAAAGUGUUUUAUAUAAUUUUGAAUCUUGUUUACAGAAGUGUACUAGCAGUGCAUAAUUUUGAUUAAUACAAUACUGUUGAUUUUGUUUUAACAAUGAGUUUGUUGAUUAUUUUGAAAUAGCGAUUACCUUGGUCUGUUUCAUCAAAACAUUUUUCAUAUCACUAGACUUCAGGAUUUGGUUGAUAGAGACACCAUACCGGUACAUAGAAUUUAUUAUUGUUAUACAUAUGCAUUCUUAAUGAAUGAUAGAGUUUAUCGUUGAAAUGAUUUGCUCAUGCAGGUAAAUUUGAAAUUAAUAAUAUAUGGUUGCAAAAAGGUUG